Molecule: long non-coding RNA, 3466 nt
Filed under: Lynx canadensis (Canada lynx)
Lineage: Eukaryota; Metazoa; Chordata; Mammalia; Carnivora; Felidae
Description: lncRNA (ENSLCNG00005007691.1)
Source: RNAcentral
CAAAAGCACCGACCAAUCGGAGGGCGUAAAGAAGAGCGACGUGCCCACCCACCCCGCUCCGCGUUGCCUGGAGGCCCUGUGGACGUAAGCAAAUAAGAAGGAAACUGGGCGUUGAAAGAGUGGCGCUGAUUAGCGGAUCUGGAAUCGCCUGGAUGAAAACCCACUUGUGAUUCGUCGUAAGUAGAUCAAAGCCCCUGUGGGCUGGAACUGGCCGGACAGUGAGGUGUGAGUAGGGGACCUGGGAGAAGGAGAGCCAGUGCGUUGAGAUGAUGUCAUAUGGAUGGCAUUUAGGUAGCUCCACGAUUGAUUUUUCCCAGACUUGCGUUCUACUUAAUUACAAAGGGCUUGAGCCAGUGACAGUCCAGGAAUGGGUGAACUACCUAUCUCCCACCACCAGCAGCACUAGGGCCAAGUUACCCUCUAUGGAAUCCACAUUUGUAUUGAACUGUAAGGCAGGAGUCCAGACCCUCAUCAUCCCUUACCCAGAGAGUCCCCUAUUGGUCACUAAUCUCUGGUCUCUGAGUUCGAUUCAUAUGCACUGAGCCACCAGCUACCUGGUUAAAAAUUAAGAAUUAUCUCAAAAAUUUCAUAAACAGACAAUCACACUGGGUAGUAUAAUGAAUACCUAUGCCCUAUUAACUGGAUUAACAAACAUUAACAUUUGGGCACCUCGGCUUCAGUUUUUUCUUUGAAAUAAAUAAAACAUCCCAGAUUUGAUCCUCAGAUCCCUUUUGUUCUCUUUUCUGGCCCCAUUUACCUUCCUCCCUUCUUCCCUCCCAGAGGCAAACAUUCUUUUGAAAUUGUUGUACAUCAUUCAUGCCCAUGUAUUUGUAUUUCUGUGGUAUAUCUGUACAUUAUAAAUGAUAUAAAUUGCUUUUUUAAAUUUUAAAAAUACAAGUAGUGUCAUACUGUGGGCUUCAUUUUGUAAUUUGCUUUUAUUACUCAACAUUAAAAAAAAUUUUUUUUUAAUGCUUACUUAUUUUUGAGAGAGAGAGGGAGAGAGAUUGUGAGCGGGGAAGGGGCAGAGAGGGAUACAGAGAAUACCAAGCAGGCUCCGCACCAUCAGCACAGAGCCCAACAUGGGGCUUGAACCCACGAACCGUGAGAUCAUGACCUGAGCCAAGAUCAGUUGGACAUUCAACCAACUGAGCCACCCUGGCGCCCCUCAACAUUGUUUUUGAGAUACGUUCAUAUCAAUACAGAUAGCCAAGUUCAUUUAUUCUAAGUGUUUCUUAUGAGUAUAAUGUUGUAUCCGUUCUUAUGAGUGUAACAUCAUAUCCAUUCCCUUAUUGGUGGACACUUAAUGUUUUUUCAGAUGUUUUGCUAUUAUGAAAAAAGCUGCAAUAAACAUCCCUGUACAUGUCUCUUAAUGCAAGAAUUUUUCUAGAACAGUGAUUCUCCAAGGGGAUGGUACUGCCCUGUUGGUCAUUUUGGAAUUUGUGAGAGCAUACUUGGUUAUAAUUGUGAUUUUGGCAGCAUUACUGGGGUUUACAGAGCAGGGUGGGAUGCUAGACGUUCUGCAGUGAAGAACUGUCCUGCAUCCUGCACAAUUUUUGAGUGUCCCACAGGGUAGCCAUUUAUAAUCUGAGCCUAGAGCCUAACUCCAUUUUUCAUAUAAACAUUAUAUAUAUGUGUGUGUGUAUAUAUAUAUAUAUAUAUAUAUAUAUUUUUUUUUUUUUUUUUUUUUGGCACAGCUUGCUAUAGUAAAAUUUCCAGGAAUGCAACUCAAAUGUAAAUCAAGGGGAAAUUAUACUUACUUGUGUUUUGGAACUUUAACAAGAGUUGUUCAUCACUUGAGAAGAUCGCAUAACCGAAGGCAGCCCAGCUCGUGGUAUUUGAGUUGCCAUACAACACACCUGCAUGAGCCUGCAUUUGUAGCUUUUGCGUUCGUGGCGAUUCUAAGUUUAGGUGCAAGCAUCUGACUGCUGUACUUCAUUAUGUAUUCUAGUGUAGUCAGCCUGAACAUUUGUAUAUUUAAACAUAUGCUGCUUUAUUAUGAAUUACUUUCCAUUUAAAAUUGGCUCGUAUAGGAUAUAAAGUAGAGGUCGAGUAUUACUCUUUUCUGAUUGGAUAAUCAUUUGUCCCAACACCAUCUAUGAAAUCCUUUACCUGCUGAAGCCAAGCCGACUCUGUCCUGUACAAAGUUCUCAUAAAUACACGGAUCUGUUUCUGGAUUCUCUAUUUUAUUCCGCUGAUCCAUGUGUCUUUAUGCCAUAUCACACUGUUUUAAUUACCUUGGUUUUAUAAUGUGUCUUGCGGCAGUUGGUAACAAGAAAGGCAAGUCUCCAUCCUAGUUCUCAAAAUUGUUUUCGCUAUUCUUGGGCUUUUGCUCUUCCAUAUGAAUUGAGGAUCCGUUUUCAAGUUCCAUGAGUUCCACAAAAAUUUAUUUUGAGAUUUUGGUUAGAACUGCAUUGAAUUGAUACUGAGGUCUUUUAAUAUUGAACCAUUCUGUCCAGGAAGGUAGGUUAUUUCUCUGUUCAGGUCUGUUUUGUUAGUCUCCUACGGCCUUUAAAAAUACAUACCUUUUAAUAAAGUUGAACAAUUUUUGCUGUAAAAACCAUACACACCUUUUUUUGGAUUUAUUCCUACUUAUACACACACAUAUCUUUCUAUUACAAAAGUUUCAAAUACAUUCAAAAGUAUAAAAAAUAUUAGAGCCAACACUUGUGUACUCAUGAUCCAGCUUCAACAAUUCCCCCACGACCAGUCUUAUUUCAUGUUACUCUCCCCUCCCCUCCUCUCCCUGGAUAAUUAUGAAGUUCCCAGACACAAUUUUCUGUUCUCUGUGUUAUGUGUAUGUAUGUAUGUGUGUAUGUGUGUGUGUGUGUAUGUAUAUGUAUAUAUAUAUAAAUGUGGUCACAUGGCUAAAAGAUGGUGAUAGAUAUAAAGAUGGUGAGAUAUAUAUAUAUAUAUAUCUUUUAGCCAUGUGACCACAAUGUCACCACAGUUUAACAAAUAAAUAAUUAUUCCCUAAUACCACUGACUAUCCAGAUACUGGUCAGAUUUCCCAAGUUGUGACAUUUGGCUUGUUUCAAUCAGGGUUCUAAUUUCUCCAUGUCUUUGUCAACACUUGGUGGUGUUGCCUCCUCCAGAACAAAAAGAUAAUAGAUGAUUUAAUUUUGAACUGUCCUUUCUCAUCCUCCACACAACUGUAGACAAAUAUUUUAGCUCUACCUUUUUUUUAUUAUUGAAGUAUAAUUGGCCUACAGUGUUAUAUUAGUUUCAGGUAUACAACGUAUUGAAUCACUGUGACUUAUUUAUUUCAUACUGGAAGUUUGUAGCUCCCUAGCCAUUCUGGUGGCUAUCUAGAGGGAUUGCAAUUUGGUUUUCAUUUGCAAGUUCCUAAUGACUAAUGUAAUUGAGCACCUUUUCACACAUUCAUUGGCUGUUCGUAUAUCCACUUUAAGUUUCUGAGAGAGAGAUACUAAAAUCUCCACUAAUUUUGAGGCUUUGUUUGAGAUUCACA